This 253-nucleotide ribosomal RNA is filed under the name uncultured bacterium. RNAcentral's name for it is "partial 16S ribosomal RNA". It matches the Rfam family "Bacterial small subunit ribosomal RNA", at positions 524 to 776 of the family's 1533-position model. The record is from RNAcentral.
UACGUAGGGGGCGAGCGUUGUCCGGAGUUACUGGGCGUAAAGCGCACGUAGGCGGUCUUUUAAGUCGGGGGUGAAAUCCUGGAGCUCAACUCCAGAACUGCCUUCGAUACUGGAAGACUUGAGUCCGGGAGAGGUGAGUGGAACUGCGAGUGUAGAGGUGAAAUUCGUAGAUAUUCGCAAGAACACCAGUGGCGAAGGCGGCUCACUGGCCCAGUACUGACGCUGAGGUGCGAAAGCGUGGGGAGCAAACAGG